This 181-nucleotide microRNA precursor is filed under the name Pelobates cultripes (western spadefoot toad). Lineage: Eukaryota; Metazoa; Chordata; Amphibia; Anura; Pelobatidae. The record is from RNAcentral.
GACUUCGCUGAACACAAAUAUUAGUGAUUCAAAACAGUAAAACAUAUCACAGUGAUGAUAUUGUCAGUGAAAGUUACUUUUUGUGCAUUUUUCACACACAAACAGCACUUUUACUGAUGAUAUAAUUGUUGUGAUACGUUUUCCAGUUUUUUAAACACUAAUAUUUGUGUUCAGCGAUGUC